CUCCAGCAUGACGGAAGGGGGGAACCCCGACGGUGUGACGUAACUGAGCAGUCUGAGUGGAGAAUCCCCAUCCAACCCUGAAAGACUCCAAAGCAGCAUCACAACCGCAUUUCCUGCAAUUAUUUGCAUUAGGUGCGCUGAUUCUGGGUCAGCUGCAAGUCUUCAAACACAGAGAGACGCUUCAUCUGAGUGCAGGUAAAUCCUCCUUCUAAGUGGGUCAGGAACAUGGUAUUUUUUGCACAGAGCAGAGCACUCUGUGCAUGCUUGAGAUGAUCUCUCCCUAAAAGCCAGACUGUUUUUUUUAAUAGAGGAAGUGUGUGAUAGAGCAGUAUGCAUGCUCCAUCUUCUACUCAUCCCAUGCUGCCAUCCGGAUAAUUUG
Molecule: non-coding RNA, 379 nt
Organism: Xyrichtys novacula (pearly razorfish)
Lineage: Eukaryota; Metazoa; Chordata; Actinopteri; Labriformes; Labridae
Source: the annotation of a GenBank genome assembly